Molecule: microRNA precursor, 84 nt
Filed under: Bombyx mori (domestic silkworm)
Lineage: Eukaryota; Metazoa; Arthropoda; Insecta; Lepidoptera; Bombycidae
Description: mir-2807 microRNA precursor family
Rfam family: mir-2807 microRNA precursor family
Source: Rfam by way of RNAcentral
UUAAAUCAAAUUUGUAUGGUGUUUUAACGUUCGUCUACGUUUGCCGCUAGGGGCGCUGUUUUAACUGCAUACAAAUUUGAGUUA